CCUACGGGUGGCUGCAGUGGGGAAUAUUGGACAAUGGGCGCAAGCCUGAUCCAGCAAUGCCGCGUGUGUGAAGAAGGCCUUCGGGUUGUAAAGCACUUUUAUCGGGAGCGAAAAGCGGCCGGCUAAUAACCGGUCGUGCUGACGGUACCCGAGGAAUAAGCACCGGCUAACUUCGUGCCAGCAGCCGCGGUAAUACGAAGGGUGCAAGCGUUAAUCGGAAUUACUGGGCGUAAAGCGUGCGUAGACGGCCUUUUAAGUCUGCUGUGAAAGCCCUG
RNAcentral lists this ribosomal RNA (275 nucleotides) under uncultured bacterium. Its description in RNAcentral is "partial 16S ribosomal RNA". It matches the Rfam family "Bacterial small subunit ribosomal RNA", at positions 338 to 605 of the family's 1533-position model. The record is from RNAcentral.